Molecule: transfer RNA, 81 nt
Organism: Flexistipes sinusarabici DSM 4947
Lineage: Bacteria; Pseudomonadati; Deferribacterota; Deferribacteres; Deferribacterales; Flexistipitaceae
Rfam family: tRNA
About the family: Transfer RNA (tRNA) molecules are approximately 80 nucleotides in length.
Source: Rfam
GCGAGUGUGGCGGAACUGGUAGACGCGCUAGACUUAGGAUCUAGUGCCUUCGGCGUGGGGGUUCGAGUCCCUCCACUCGCA